Molecule: microRNA precursor, 87 nt
Organism: Panthera pardus (leopard)
Lineage: Eukaryota; Metazoa; Chordata; Mammalia; Carnivora; Felidae
Gene: MIR124-3
Product: microRNA 124-3
Source: Ensembl
UGAGGGCCCCUCUGCGUGUUCACAGCGGACCUUGAUUUAAUGUCUAUACAAUUAAGGCACGCGGUGAAUGCCAAGAGAGGCGCCUCC